RNAcentral lists this long non-coding RNA (830 nucleotides) under Pan troglodytes (chimpanzee). RNAcentral describes it as "long non-coding RNA NONPTRT014299". The record is from RNAcentral. Lineage: Eukaryota; Metazoa; Chordata; Mammalia; Primates; Hominidae.
AUUGGAAUCAAUGGCUCACAAAACCAUGGAAACUCAGAAUCACGGAACAAUAGAACCUGGGAGCAGACUGUACAGGGAGUUAACAAUGUAAUUUCUUGAAGUUAAAAAGACAUCCUUGGCUGAGCGCAGUGGCAAACGCCUGUAAUCCUAGCACUUUGGGAGGCCAAGGCGGGUGGAUCACUUGAGGUCAGGAGUUUAAGACCAGCCUGGCCAACAUGGUGAAACCCCAUCUCUACCAAAAAUACAAAAAUUAGCUGGGCAUGGUGGUGCGUGCCUGUGGUCCCAGCUACCCAGGAGGCUGAGGCAAGAGAAUCGCUGGAACCCAGGAGGCAGAGUCUGCAGUGAGCCAAGAUUGUGCCACUGCACUCCAGCCUGGGCAACAGAGUAAGACUCCGUCUCAAAAAAAAAAGUCAUCUUUUCUGAUAAUGAAGAAUAUUUUCCUUCUUAUACACCCUUAGUUUAGAAAUGUGGAGAGGUGUGUUUUCACAUAAAGAACAAGCCUGUUAAUAUUUGUUGGUUGCUGAUAUUAUACAGUCCUGGUGAAUUUUUCCUCUUCAUUGCUAGAUCCAGCCCCCAAAGAAGAGGUAUGAUUGUCCUGAAACUACGAUACUUUGAAGUAACUCUAAGAGAGCCACUUGGAGAGGCUACAUGAGGGAGUACAAAAGGGCUCUAAAUGACAGCCCCACGUAAAAUCCCAGCCUAUAGCAAGGACCAACUGCCACCAUCGUACACAUUCCAAAUCAGUUGAACCUCCAGUGAGCCAUCUUGGACAUUUCAAGCCACUUGAGCCUUCAGGUGACUGAGGUUGUAGCUCCCACCACAUAGAGAAC